AGGUGGGAGCAAUAUACAUUGCGCACCAUCAUCCGACUGGUCUAGCUUUUUUAGUUACCGGCUCGCGAUUGAGCGUAUAUGCUGGGACCCGAAAGAUGGUGAACUA
This 106-nucleotide ribosomal RNA is filed under the name Rhodomonas lens. RNAcentral describes it as "partial Eukaryotic large subunit ribosomal RNA". The record is from RNAcentral. Lineage: Eukaryota; Cryptophyceae; Pyrenomonadales; Pyrenomonadaceae.